GCGGGGCGUAGCUCAGAUGGUAGAGUGCUUACUUAGCUGGUGAGAGGUACGGGGAUCGAUACCCCGCACCUACA
Molecule: non-coding RNA, 74 nt
Organism: Trichonephila inaurata madagascariensis
Lineage: Eukaryota; Metazoa; Arthropoda; Arachnida; Araneae; Nephilidae
Source: the annotation of a GenBank genome assembly